Molecule: long non-coding RNA, 498 nt
Organism: Neltuma alba
Lineage: Eukaryota; Viridiplantae; Streptophyta; Magnoliopsida; Fabales; Fabaceae
Exons: 3
Source: RefSeq, a predicted model, not a curated record
CGCGUUUAGGUUCUGGUGGAACACGUUCACAUCUGUGACGUUAUAUUGGCUGCACCCUAUCUUCACAAAGUUGGUCUGUGGCGGCGUCGUUUCGGAUCCACAGACCCAUCUUCUGAACAACGAGUGUAAUCCGUACUUCAUUUCCAACGUAUUUCUGGACUCCAAUGUCUCCGUCUUCAACCAAAACCUAAACGGAACUCUGCGAGACAUCAGAGAGCAGAUCAGUGUCCAGAACAAGCACUUCGCCACGGCAAAGCAAAGCAAGGGAGGAAACCCUGUUGCUACGCUUUUUCAAUGCAGAAACUAUCUCUCCGUCGCCGACUGUGUCGCUUGCUUCAAUGCGGCUACCGAUCAAAUCCGACGAUGCCCCCCCGGGACCUCCGGUGCCCAUGUCGUCUACGACGGCUGCUUCCUCAGGUUCGAUAUUAAUAGUAAUGUCUUUCAAGAAACAACGCAAACUUUCAACAUCACGUCAUGUGGGAAUCAGACUACUGAAGA